Molecule: long non-coding RNA, 381 nt
Filed under: Capsella rubella
Lineage: Eukaryota; Viridiplantae; Streptophyta; Magnoliopsida; Brassicales; Brassicaceae
Description: long non-coding RNA (CRUB_LNC000559)
Source: RNAcentral
UUAGAUUUUUCAAAAACGAUGAAGAGGAAGACAAAGAGGUUAAAAGAUCCGAUGGUUAUCCGAUAGUGAUAUGGGUUUUCGGAUAUAGACUGGUUGGAUCUGUAAUUGUUUUAUUUUAGUGAGGAUAAGGUUGUAUUUUAACCAAUUUUCGAUUUUUUUAAUUAUUUUUUUUUUUUUCAUUUUGGUCAAACCCUUAUGAGAAUAGAAAAAGGAGUCAAAGGGUACAAGAGAUUUUAGUCCACAAAAAAAUUGAAGAGUCUUAAAUAUUACACAACAUAUUGAAUCAUAUUGUACAUGUUACACUACAACUUAUAUAGCAAACUUAUCAUUAUCAUGUGAAAUAAUUUGUUAUCAUGUUAAAUUAUACCGUUAAAGUAAAAA